ACUCAAAUGAAUAGACGGGGGCCCGCACAAGCGGCGGAGCAUGCGGCUUAAUUCGAUGCAACGCGAAGAACCUUACCUAGGCUUGACAGUUGGGGAAAACUGGCAGAGAUGUCAGGUCCGCAAGGGCCCCAAAACAGGUGGUGCAUGGCUGUCGUCAGCUCGUGUCGUGAGAUGUUGGGUUAAGUCCCGCAACGAGCGCAACCCUCGUCGUAUGUUGCCAGCAAGUAAAGUUGGGGACUCAUACGAGACUGCCGGGGUCAACUCGGAGGAAGGUGGGGAUGACGUCAAGUCAUCAUGCCCCUUAUGUCUAGGGCUGCACGCAUGCUACAAUGGCCGGUACAAAGGGCUGCGAUACCGCAAGGUGGAGCGAAUCCCAAAAAGCCGGUCUCAGUUCGGAUUGGGGUCUGCAACUCGACCCCAUGAAGUCGGAGUCGCUAGUAAUCGCAGAUCAGCAACGCUGCGGUGAAUACGUUCCCGGGCCUUGUACACACCGCCCGU
This 498-nucleotide ribosomal RNA is filed under the name uncultured bacterium. RNAcentral's name for it is "bacterial SSU rRNA". It matches the Rfam family "Bacterial small subunit ribosomal RNA", at positions 899 to 1397 of the family's 1533-position model. The record is from RNAcentral.